This 746-nucleotide ribosomal RNA is filed under the name Shigella sonnei. RNAcentral describes it as "partial 23S ribosomal RNA". It matches the Rfam family "Bacterial large subunit ribosomal RNA", at positions 2176 to 2916 of the family's 2925-position model. The record is from RNAcentral. Lineage: Bacteria; Pseudomonadati; Pseudomonadota; Gammaproteobacteria; Enterobacterales; Enterobacteriaceae.
CUGCAUGGAGCCGGCCUUGAAAUACCACCCUUUAAUGUUUGAUGUUCUAACGUGGACCCGUGAUCCGGGUUGCGGACAGUGUCUGGUGGGUAGUUUGACUGGGGCGGUCUCCUCCUAAAGAGUAACGGAGGAGCACGAAGGUUGGCUAAUCCUGGUCGGACAUCAGGAGGUUAGUGCAAUGGCAUAAGCCAGCUUGACUGCGAGCGUGACGGCGCGAGCAGGUGCGAAAGCAGGUCAUAGUGAUCCGGUGGUUCUGAAUGGAAGGGCCAUCGCUCAACGGAUAAAAGGUACUCCGGGGAUAACAGGCUGAUACCGCCCAAGAGUUCAUAUCGACGGCGGUGUUUGGCACCUCGAUGUCGGCUCAUCACAUCCUGGGGCUGAAGUAGGUCCCAAGGGUAUGGCUGUUCGCCAUUUAAAGUGGUACGCGAGCUGGGUUUAGAACGUCGUGAGACAGUUCGGUCCCUAUCUGCCGUGGGCGCUGGAGAACUGAGGGGGGCUGCUCCUAGUACGAGAGGACCGGAGUGGACGCAUCACUGGUGUUCGGGUUGUCAUGCCAAUGGCACUGCCCGGUAGCUAAAUGCGGAAGAGAUAAGUGCUGAAAGCAUCUAAGCACGAAACUUGCCCCGAGAUGAGUUCUCCCUGACCCUUUAAGGGUCCUGAAGGAACGUUGAAGACGACGACGUUGAUAGGCCGGGUGUGUAAGCGCAGCGAUGCGUUGAGCUAACCGGUACUAAUGAACCGUGAGG